Molecule: transfer RNA, 89 nt
Filed under: Cronartium quercuum f. sp. fusiforme G11
Lineage: Eukaryota; Fungi; Basidiomycota; Pucciniomycetes; Pucciniales; Coleosporiaceae
Rfam family: tRNA
About the family: Transfer RNA (tRNA) molecules are approximately 80 nucleotides in length. Their secondary structure includes four short double-helical elements and three loops (D, anti-codon, and T loops).
Source: Rfam by way of RNAcentral
GACUGGAUAGCCUAGUGGUAAAGGCAUCACAUUGACAUUGUGUCUCAGCUUACAUGCUGAGGUCCCAGGUUUGAAUCCUGGUCUAGUCA